Homo sapiens (human) is the source of this 344-nucleotide long non-coding RNA. RefSeq lists it as uncharacterized. The record is from RefSeq and is a predicted model, not a curated record. NCBI's taxonomy places the organism in Eukaryota, Metazoa, Chordata, Mammalia, Primates, Hominidae. The transcript has 4 exons.
ACAGGCCCUACCCGUAGCUUCUACAUCCCUCUUCCAUCACAGCACAAGCACACAGAACCCUAAUUGGUAGUGCCAGAGACGCAGCAGGGACAAAACAUCACCUUGGGUCAGAUCUCAAGAAGGCCCUUUGGGUUUCACAGAUGAAUGACAGGCAACCCCAGAGCACAUCAUUUGCCUCUCAGUCUGCCAAGAGAGACCUCUAGCUAUGCUUGAUACAGGUAUAGAAAAGAGGAGAUGGAAUUUGUGAUACACUAUGAAAUGGAUCACCAAGGGAAAAUUUUCACAAAUAGAAUGGAUUGCGGUUCCUGAAGGUACCAAGCAUUAAAAAAAGUUUUGUGACUUAA